ACGUGGGAGGUGCUCCAAGGCUGUCGCCGACUUUGAAAGGGUCGUGCACGCCAAAAGGGUGUCCUUUCAUGUUGAAUCCAUCUCACCCCUUUUGUGCAUCACCGCGUGGGCUUCCUCCUCGAGGGGGCUCGCGUUUUUCACACAAACCCCCUUUGUAAACGUCUGUAGAAUGUACUCAUUUUGUUUGCGUUGACGCGCGAUCAAUACAACUUUCAACAACGGAUCUCUUGGCUCUCGCAUCGAUGAAGAACGCAGCGAAAUGCGAUACGUAAUGUGAAUUGCAGAAUUCAGUGAAUCAUCGAAUCUUUGAACGCACCUUGCGCCCCUUGGUAUUCCGAGGGGCACACCCGUUUGAGUGUCGUGAAAAUCUCAACCUCCUCGGUUUCUUCUGGAUGCCGAAGGAGGCUUGGACUUUGGAGGGCUUUGCUGAACUUUCUAGUCCAGCUCCUCUCAAAUGAAUUAGCGAGGUUCCCUUUGCCGAUCCUCGACGUGUGAUAAGAUGCUUCCACGUCUCGGUCGUCGGCUCUGUCGCCUCUUGGGACCUGCUUCCAAUCGUCUCUUGACGAGACAACGUUCGAGCUUGCCUCGACCACGUACCCUUGACCUCAAAUCGGGUGAGACUACCCGCUGAACUUAAGCAUAUCAAUAAGCGGAGG
Molecule: small RNA, 656 nt
Filed under: Lactarius sp. HMAS 276787
Lineage: Eukaryota; Fungi; Basidiomycota; Agaricomycetes; Russulales; Russulaceae
Description: eukaryotic LSU rRNA
Rfam family: 5.8S ribosomal RNA (bases 208-361)
Source: RNAcentral